Molecule: ribosomal RNA, 664 nt
Filed under: Prevotella disiens
Lineage: Bacteria; Pseudomonadati; Bacteroidota; Bacteroidia; Bacteroidales; Prevotellaceae
Description: bacterial SSU rRNA
Rfam family: Bacterial small subunit ribosomal RNA
Source: RNAcentral
CCCGGUAGUCCUGGCCGUAAACGAUGGGUACUAGGUGUAGGAGGUAUCGACCCCUUCUGUGCCGGAGUUAACGCAAUAAGUACCCCGCCUGGGGAGUACGACCGCAAGGUUGAAACUCAAAGGAAUUGACGGGGGCCCGCACAAGCUUGAAACUCAAAGGAAUUGACGGGGGCCCGCACAAGCGGUGGAGUAUGUGGUUUAAUUCGACGCAACGCGAAGAACCUUACCAGGUCUUGACAUUGAUGGACAGAACUAGAGAUAGUUCCUCUUCUUCGGAAGCCAGAAAACAGGUGGUGCACGGUUGUCGUCAGCUCGUGUACGGUUGUCGUCAGCUCGUGUCGUGAGAUGUUGGGUUAAGUCCCGCAACGAGCGCAACCCCUAUCUUAUGUUGCCAGCACGUAAUGGUGGGAACUCAUGAGAGACUGCCGCAGACAAUGCGGAGGAAGGCGGGGAUGACGUCAAAUCAUCAUGCCCCUUAUGACCUGGGCUACACACGUACUACAAUGGGAGUUAAUAGACGGAAGCGAGAUCGCGAGAUGGAGCAAACCCGAGAAACACUCUCUCAGUUCGGAUCGUAGGCUGCAACUCGCCUACGUGAAGUCGGAUUCGCUAGUAAUCGCAGGUCAGCAUACCGCGGUGAAUACGUUCCCGGGCCUUGUACACA